GAUGAACGCUAGCGGCAGGCCUAACACAUGCAAGUCGAGGGGCAGCAAGGGUAGCAAUACCUGUUGGCGACCGGCGCACGGGUGAGUAACGCGUUUGCAACCUACCUCUAACUGGGGCAUAGCCCGAAGAAAUUCGGAUUAAUACCCCAUAACACUAUGAAGUGGCAUCUUUUUAUAGUUAAAGUUUCGACGGUUAGAGAUGGGCAUGCGUAACAUUAGCUUGUUGGUGAGGUAACGGCUCACCAAGGCAACGAUGUUUAGGGGGUCUGAGAGGAUGAUCCCCCA
Molecule: ribosomal RNA, 285 nt
Filed under: uncultured Bacteroidota bacterium
Lineage: Bacteria; Pseudomonadati; Bacteroidota
Description: uncultured Bacteroidetes bacterium partial 16S ribosomal RNA
Rfam family: Bacterial small subunit ribosomal RNA
Source: RNAcentral